UCUUCCUGGGGGAAUUUGUUCCUCUGGCUCAGGAAUACCUCCCUAAUGUGAAGAAGAUAAUUUCUAUGAAGAGGCUUAUCCUGUGUACAGAGCAAGUCUUGGGUCUAUAGAGUUACCAGGACAUGGAAGCUUCUGGCUCUGAAUUUAAACCUGAAGACAGUCGAGAUGUCAUUGACAGGCAGGUGACUACUAAUUUCCAGCACAGUGGGUCUUGCCCACUAAAUGCUCCACAGCCCCAUGGUGCCUACCCUAUUACGAGGAAGGAGGAUUUUCCUACACGGCUCUGCUGGCUCAGCUCUUCUCUUGGUGAAGUCAAUGACAAACCUCAGCUUGCCUCCAGGGCUCACAAUGAGCUGCUCUUUCGUGCAGCUGAAAAUCCCCCCCCACACACAGUGGUGACACCCGGAUGCUUUGCAGGUGCACCGUGCCUGUUGCCUAAACAAAGCCUGGUCUGAAGUAUGGAUAGGAAAUAAAUAUUUUA
This is a non-coding RNA of Meleagris gallopavo (turkey), 481 nucleotides long. Lineage: Eukaryota; Metazoa; Chordata; Aves; Galliformes; Phasianidae. The record is from RefSeq and is a predicted model, not a curated record.